Non-coding RNA from Salmo salar (Atlantic salmon), 1191 nucleotides. NCBI's taxonomy places the organism in Eukaryota, Metazoa, Chordata, Actinopteri, Salmoniformes, Salmonidae. The record is from RefSeq and is a predicted model, not a curated record.
GAAAUUGAUGCUUGGUUGGGAUGUUUAUUUUGUAAGUGAAAAAUCAUUAUAUGCAUAGUUCAGUUGUGAAACAAUACAUAAGGAAAAUGCUUGCGUACAUUUAGAAUAAUUAGAAGACAGAAAUGUUGAAAAAUAGUUUAGGUUCGGUAACUUCCGGAAGACAGCAAGAGAUUAUUUUGAACAAAUAAAAGCUUUCUUUUCAUUGUGCCCUGUUUUGUUAAUAUCUUAUAAAACAUUCUUAAAUACCACAAAUAUAACACCUAUGGGACCAACAACAGUGACAAAACGUUAGGUUCAGGUUAUGAAACACAGUACAAGUCAUGUCAUUAAUGACUUCCCACUUGUUCCCAUUUUGACAAAGGUGUAAAAAUAGAUGAAGGGUUAGGUCUACUCAGUUACAAAAAUAAUGAUACAGUGGUACAGAUCUGACCCCUAGCUAGUCCCCUUUAUAUAUAAAACGUGUGAAUUCGCCAAAAGGUCUGGGAGGACUUCAAAGGUAUAAAACCAGUUUGUCACUAUCUGCUUUAAACACAAGGAUAGACGGUUCAAACUCAAUUCCUGGUAAACAAUAUUAGCCUUCAAGAAAGACGCUUGUUCUGAAUUUGGUCCCUUUUGGAAAAAACAAGAAAUUGUCCCAGAAUAAAAAAAGUUGUACAUAUUUAAGUGUCACCUUAUUUUUCUAUCCCAGUGUAAGGUCUGUCUUAGGGAAGGCCCAGUGUAAGGUCUGUCUUAGGGAAGGCCCAGUGUAAGGUCUGUCUUAGGGAAUGCCCAGUGUAAGGUAUGUCUAGAGAAGGCCCAGUGUAAGGUCUGUCUAGAGAAGGCCCAGUGUAAGGUAUGUCUAGAGAAGGCCCAGUGUAAGGUCUGUCUAGAGAAGGCCCAGUGUAAGGUAUGUCUAGAGAAGGCCCAGUGUAAGGUAUGUCUAGAGAAGGCCCAGUGUAAGGUAUGUCUAGAGAAGGCCCAGUGUAAGGUAUGUCUAGAGAAGGCCCAGUGUAAGGUAUGUCUAGAGAAGGCCCAGUGUAAGGUAUGUCUAGAGAAGGCCCAGUGUAAGGUAUGUCUAGAGAAGGCCCAGUGUAAGGUAUGUCUAGAGAAGGCCCAGUGUAAGGUCUGUCUAGAGAAGGCCCAGUGUAAGGUAUGUCUAGAGAAGGCCCAGUGUAAGGUCUGUCUAGAGAAGGCCCAGUGUAAGGUCUGUCU